This 473-nucleotide ribosomal RNA is filed under the name uncultured Methanosaeta sp. Its description in RNAcentral is "bacterial SSU rRNA". It matches the Rfam family "Archaeal small subunit ribosomal RNA", at positions 871 to 1337 of the family's 1478-position model. Lineage: Archaea; Methanobacteriati; Methanobacteriota; Methanomicrobia; Methanotrichales; Methanotrichaceae. The record is from RNAcentral.
UUGACGGGGAGCACCACAACGGGUGGAGCUUGCGGUUUAAUUGGAUUCAACGCCGGAAAUCUUACCGGGACCGACAGCAAUAUGAAGGCCAGGCUGAAGACUUUGCCGGAUUAGCUGAGAGGUGGUGCAUGGCCGUCGUCAGUUCGUACUGUGAAGCAUCCUGUUAAGUCAGGCAACGAGCGAGACCCACGCCCACAGUUGCCAGCGUACUCUCUGGAGUGACGGGUACACUGUGGGGACCGCCGCUGCUAAAGCGGAGGAAGGAAUGGGCAACGGUAGGUCAGUAUGCCCCGAAUAUCCCGGGCUACACGCGAGCUACAAUGGUUGGUACAAUGGGUAUCUACCCCGAAAGGGGACGGGAAUCUCCUAAAACCAAUCUUAGUUCGGAUUGAGGGCUGCAACUCGCCCUCAUGAAGCUGGAAUCCGUAGUAAUCGCGGAUCAGCACGCCGCGGUGAAUACGUUCCCGGGCCUU